CUUGGCGGCAAUAGCGCGGUGGUCCCACCUGACCCCAUGCCGAACUCAGAAGUGAAACGCCGUAGCGCCGAUGGUAGUG
RNAcentral lists this ribosomal RNA (79 nucleotides) under Serratia liquefaciens. The record is from RNAcentral. Lineage: Bacteria; Pseudomonadati; Pseudomonadota; Gammaproteobacteria; Enterobacterales; Yersiniaceae. RNAcentral also lists the same sequence under 13 other names.